RNAcentral lists this long non-coding RNA (364 nucleotides) under Androctonus crassicauda. Lineage: Eukaryota; Metazoa; Arthropoda; Arachnida; Scorpiones; Buthidae. The record is from RNAcentral.
UACCAUCCCGCUAUAUAAACACUGUCCGCAUUGCUGGCUUGUAUAUCGCUUGUACAAUUCCAAGAGAGUACUUUAUACAACCGUCUAACGUCUUUCAGACAUAUCCGUAGAAAAUGGACAUCAGGCUUUUGGAAUUUAUAGUAUUCUUUGUGAUGUCGACAAGAUGUUACUGUCAGCUACAGUAUCCGGUAAUACCUCAGUAUCUACUUCCAGUCGGUUAUAUCGACGACGAACCGGAAAUAUAUCCAAGAAGACGUUACAUUUCCGUUUACGACACACCAAAAUACGUCCAGAGAUGGAAAGACACUCCAACUGCGAACGAUUACGUAUAUGAAGAUUACGACGAAGACACUCCAACUGCGAC